CAGAUUUCUUUGUAAAGCAUUUUAAAAUGGACCAACUCUAAAAAUUCCGGAAUAAAUAGUAAGAAGUGCCUGUGAAUCUUCCAAUACCUCGUUAAAGUCCGAAUUAUAUAACUAACUUUUUAAUUUUUUUUCCAACGAUUGUAUCUUGGAUUACUUUGAAGUUCUAGAGAAGAUCCUAAAGGAGCAGAAGAAAUUCCAGAAUAGUUUGCAAGCUGUCUAGAGCUGGUUGGUUGCCUAUUUUUUGCAUAUCCUAAAGUCAAGUUAGUAUGUUAUUAAGUUUGCAGAGACUGUAUUGAUUAAAUAUCGCUUCUUUUAGAAUCCGACUACAUACCACCACGUCCAGGAUCAAAUUCUUCCCGCAUUUCAUCUCUGACUUGGCCUCCGGAUGCACCUCUGCCAUAUUGACGACCUUCUUCGUAACCAUGAUCCAAAUCUGCACGAAUAAUUCUUUCAUCCAAUGAUGUUCUUGAAAUGUAUUUUAAGCUAUCUAAAGCAUCUUGAUUUUCAAAAUAUUCAACAAAACAAAACCCACAUGGUGUCUGGUAAUAUUUGAUUAGUACAAGUCGGGCAUCUAUGAUUGCAUUCCAAGACAACUUUGAAAGUAAUGAACUUGAAGAGCAAAUAAACAGAAUUUUAUGAAAACUUACCUUUGUAAAUCUAUCUACGCCCAUGAUAAUUCGUCGAAUCUCACCACAUUUGGAAAAUAAAGCAUAAAUUUGCUCCUCGGUGGUAUAGAAUGAAAGGUUGCCAACAUAAACACAGUUACUUUGUUUCACAGCAUCUAAAGCACGUAAAUCGUUUUUAAACCUCCGUAUGAGAUACGGAGAAACAGCAUCUAACCUUGUUAUUGAUGCCAUUUUUCCUAGGCAGUGGUUGUAGGUUGAAGUCUAACUUUAUAGUGUACUAUGCAUUUACAAAGUAAAAAAAUCAUCGUGUAAAUGUAGCUAAUUCCAACCCUUAUAAU
Molecule: non-coding RNA, 964 nt
Organism: Schizosaccharomyces pombe (fission yeast)
Lineage: Eukaryota; Fungi; Ascomycota; Schizosaccharomycetes; Schizosaccharomycetales; Schizosaccharomycetaceae
Source: the annotation of a GenBank genome assembly